RNAcentral lists this ribosomal RNA (2004 nucleotides) under Triticum aestivum (bread wheat). RNAcentral describes it as "partial small subunit ribosomal RNA". Lineage: Eukaryota; Viridiplantae; Streptophyta; Magnoliopsida; Poales; Poaceae. The record is from RNAcentral.
AUGGGUGGCGCGCGUCGGGGGCUCAUGCUGCUCCUCGUCCUCGUCGUGCUGCUCCAGGCGCAGGCAUGGGCCGGCGCCGCUCCGCUCAACGGCGAAGGAUUGGCUCUGCUGGAGCUGAGGGCGAGGGUGGAGGGAGAUCCCCAUGGAGUCUUCCAUGACUGGGAUCCCAUGGACAACAAUCCCUGCAGCUGGUCCGGCGUCCAAUGCUCUGACGGCAAUGUGGAGAUUCUGAAUUUAACAGGUCAUGAACUGGCUGGAACCCUCGCACCUGAGAUUGGAAGCCUACAAUGUCUAAGAUCACUUUUACUUCCAAAGAACAAUUUCCAUGGGCAAAUCCCCAGAGAGUUUGGAGGGUUAUCUGCCCUUGAAGUACUGGAUUUGAGUGCCAACAACUUGGAUGGAACAAUUCCAAAAGAACUAGGGACGAUGCCACUACUCAAACAGCUAUCACUUCACAAUAAUCAGUUCCAAGAAGGCGUCUCAUCUUUCAACAUACAAGGUGGAGCUGCUGAGCAGACAUGCUGCUUGAGCAGAAAACUAGGUUGCUGGCUGGGGUCUAAGAAUUGGAUUUCUUUCAACGUCCUCCGUGGGAAAUAUUGCAACAAUCUACCAAGUUUUACCGAGUCACACAUAAUGCAGAAUUUGCAGUCCAUAGCAAGUGCGAUGCGCCGCAGGCUGCUUGAAGCUGGCAAUCUGCCUGCUCUUUCAGGGAAUAAUGACCUGGAAAAUUCAACAGGAAUCCAGAGACCUGCUGAUGUUCUAUCUCUAGGGACUGGUUCAUUUCCUGCGUUCCCAAAGUCGGAUGGCCAAAUCCUGAUGCCUUCGGUUCCAGAAUCCGUUGAGAAUGUUGAUGCUGCAACACCAAAGCAGGUGCCUGCCGCAGUGACCCAAUCAGACGACAAAGAGUCAUCUGGUGCGAAGUAUGGCAUUUGGACUUAUGUCCUCAUAUUUCUAGCUGCAAUACUGCUCAUUAGCCUGAUUAUUGCGCCGAUCUUGGUCUGUCGGAAGCGAGGGGAUGGAUCAAUAGCCCCCUGGAAAGCAGGGCUAAGCGGCCAACUUCGGAAGGCAUUUGUAACAGGUGUUCCACAGCUAAACAGACUAGAACUCGAGGCCGCUUGCGAGGAUUUCAGCAACAUUCUCAACGCUCUGCCUUUCUGUACCGUGUUCAAGGGGACAUUAUCCAGUGGAGUCGAGAUCUGUGUUGUCUCCACUUCCAUUUCAUCGGUCAAGGAGUGGUCCAAGAGUUCAGAAACGUUCUUCAGAAAAAAGAUAGAUACAGUGUCAAGAGUCAACCACAAGAACUUUGUCAAUCUCCUCGGAUAUUGCAUAGAAAACAAACCCUUCAUGAGGAUGAUGGUGUACGAGUAUGCUCCGAAUGGAACUCUUUCUGAGCAUCUUCAUCUCAAGGUGUUUGAGGAUCUCGACUGGGCUGCGAGGAUGAGGAUCAUCAUGGGCCUGGCGUACUGCCUCCAGUACAUGCACCAUGAGCUCAAUCCGCCUGUGGCGAUAAACGAUAUACGCUCCGACGCAAUCUUUAUGACAGAUGACUAUGCUGCUAAGAUUGCCGAUGUUGGCAUGUGGAAAGAACUCGCGGACAGAGCAAAGGCUGCAAAGCAGGACGGCAGCAGCCGCUCUGAACCUCCUCCCGAUCUCGCGGGCAGCGUCUUCUGCUUCGGCAUGCUUCUGCUGGAGAUCAUAUCCGGAAAGCUUCCUGAACCAGGUGGCCAUGAACUGACCUGCAUCUGGGCUGCCAAGCAUCUCAAAGCCAAGAACUAUGUCGAGCUCGUCGACACUGUGCUCGAGGAACACAAGGCCAACGAGCUGGAGGCCGUCUGCGAGGUGAUCGAGGAGUGCACCGACCCCGACCCGACGCGGCGGCCAGCAAUGCGAGACGUGACGGGAAAGCUCAGGGAGGUUCUUGGCGUCUCGCCGGAGGCGGCGGCGCCGCGGCUCUCGCCCCUCUGGUGGGCUGAGCUCGAGUUACUGUCCAUAAAGUCGACCUAG